RNAcentral lists this ribosomal RNA (377 nucleotides) under uncultured bacterium. Its description in RNAcentral is "bacterial SSU rRNA". It matches the Rfam family "Bacterial small subunit ribosomal RNA", at positions 281 to 671 of the family's 1533-position model. The record is from RNAcentral.
GGGUAGCCGGCCUGAGAGGGCGACCGGCCACACUGGGACUGAGACACGGCCAGACACCUACGGGAGGCAGCAGUGGGGAAUAUUGGGCAAUGGAGGAAACUCUGACCCAGCGACGCCGCGUGAGGGAUGAAGGCCUUCGGGUUGUAAACCUCUUUCAGUAGGGAAGAAGCGAAAGUGACGGUACCUACAGAAGAAGCACCGGCUAACUAUGUGCCAGCAGCCGCGGUAAUACAUAGGGUGCAAGCGUUGUCCGGAAUUAUUGGGCGUAAAGAGCUCGUAGGUGGUUCGAUACGUCGGAUGUGAAAAUCAGGGGCUCAACCCCUGACCUGCAUUCGAUACGGUCUAGCUAGAGUGUGGUAGGGGAGACUGGAAUUCCU